AAUGCCACUUUAUAUAGGGGACUUGAGCAUCUGUGGAUUUUGGUGUCCACAGGGGUUCUGGAGCAAAUUCCCCAAGGAUACCAAGGGAUGACUGUACUUCUACAUAUACUGUCUCAUUUAAGUUUUACAUCAUCCCGUGAAGUAGGUACUAAUAUUAUUCCCAUCUUACACAUGAAGAAACUGUGGCAUGGAAAAAUUGUCCAAGGUCAUACAACCAAGAAAUAGUGGUACCUGGCAGAACUAGCUACAUCAUUUGUGAGACCUGGCACAAAAUGAAAAUCAGGGCUCCUUGCUCAAAAAUUUAAUUAUUUUAAGAUGGCAACAGCAGAGCUUUAAAGCAAGUGUGGGGCUCCUGUGUGACAACACGGGCCUGUGCCCAAGGAGCCAACCCUGGUACCAGAAUCUGAAUUCAGAAUUCUGACUCCAGAACCCACAAGCCUCUGUGUUUGGAGAAAGUCCUAGGAAUCCCUGUAAUUUACUGAGAACCUGCUUUGUGCAUUGUGAGAAAUCUUCAAAAGCCCUCACAACAUCCCUGAGGUAACAGUGAGGUGUUGUCACCCUGAUUUUUAAGAGUGAGGAAACCAAGCUUUGGGAAGCUGAGUUACCCACCAGGGUAACUGAGUUACCCCAGGGUUACCCAGGGGGGCCAGGCUUUGAACACAGGACCAUCUCUGGAGCCUAUGUUCUUGUACCACAUGGCCUCUUUCUAUAAGGAUCACCAAGGCAGGAACUAAAAUGGGGCUCGGCGUGACUCAGACAAUCUCUUAGGAACUUUGACCCAGAAGCCUGUCACUGGGGCUCGAGCUGCUGCUUUGCUCAAGACCAGAAGGCGUCCCAAGUCUGCAGAUACUUCCAGCGAGGCUUCUGCUUCCACGGAGGUCGGUGCAGCUACCAGCACCCACAGCCUCCCCGGCACCUUGAGUGGGGCCGCCGCCACUCAGAGCCACAGAUCACCCUGCCAGGAUCCCAGCUGGGGCUGACCCGCAGGGGGUCCGAGCCCACCUACCUGCCCUCUGUGGCUGUGGGUUGGGGCUGGGCCAGGGGAUACCGGGGCAUGGAGCCUGGCCUGGAGGAGUUCAACAAAGCUGAGGAGGUUGGUGGCAGUUCCUGGAAGUCCCUGUUGCCAUCAUCUGCUGAUGGUGGCCACAGCUACUCUCAGAAGCCUCAGCCUAAGUCAGACCCUAUCCGGGAGCUUCUGGCCCUACUUCAGAGCCUAGACCUUGAGGUGCAGCAGGUAGUUGAGGGGAAGGGGCAGAGGAUGCCAUGGUGGACCUCUGGGAUGCCCAGACAUGCUGGAGGAGGGUCCCUGGAGCUGAAACCGCUGCUGCUACGAUUGCCCCCAUUAUGCCAAAGGAAUCUGAUGUCUCUGCUGAUGGCUGUUUGGCCAUCACUGCCUGAAAGCAGUCUCCUCCCUGUACUGCAGAUUGCACACCAGGACCCAAGCCCUGACCCUGAUCUCUGGCUCCGGGCCCUUGGGGAAUUGCUGCGAAAGGAUCUGGGUGUUGGGGCCUCCACUGAGGGAGCAUCCCCACUAUCUGCAAGGUGCCAGAGACAACUCCAAGGCCUGUGUAGGCAGCUGGGCCAAGGGGGCAGGAAGCUGAGAUGGCCCCAUGCUCCAGACCCCAAAAAGGAAGAAGAGAAGGACAAGGACUCCCAGUGGCCUGGGAAACGCAGAAAGGGGCCAGAGGAAGAGUCUGCCAGUCCUGAUGGGGAAAGGGCCCCCAAAAGGUUUCGGUGUUUGGAAAAGGAAGAAGAGAAAGAGGCAGGUCAUCAGGAAGCAAGACCUGAACAUGAAUCUUUGGAGUCCCUGGCUGAUGGAGGAGGUGCAUCACCCAUUAAGAAGCAGCCUGCCAUGGGGGCUGAGCCCAGUGAGGCUGCUCCAAGUCUAGAGGAUGCUAAGGGCCUACCUGAGAGUUUGGAGUUGCCCAAAGCUAUCCAGGAUCAGGUUCCCAGGAUGCAGCAGCUGCUCAGGACCUUCGGGGAGGGGUUGGAGGGAUUGGAGGGUGCCCCACCAGCUGAGCUGCAGCUUCUCCACGAAUGCAGUCCCAGCCAGGUGGACCUGCUGUGUGCCCAGCUGCAGCUCCCACAGCUCUCAGACGCUGGCCUUCUGCAGCUCUGCACCUGGCUGCUGGCCCUUUCCCCAGAUCUCAGCCUAAGCAAUGCUACUGUGCUGACCAGGAGCCUCUUUCUUGGACGGAUUCUCUCCCUUACUUCCUCAGCCUCCCGCCUGCUCACAACCGCCCUGACCGCCUUCUGUACCAAGUAUACCUACGCUGUCUGCAGAGCCCUCCUUGGCCCUGUACUCCAAGCUCCAAGAACAGGUCCAGCUCAAACCGAAUUACUGUGUUGCCUUAUGAAGGACAAGGCCCUAGAGCCAGACAUGCAGGUUCUGAUGCUGGGAUCCUGGAGCUGCCGUGGAAGGAGGAGUCUUUCUUGGUGUUGCAAUCACUCCUGGAGCGGCAGGUGGAGAUGCCGCCUGAGAAGUUCAAUGUGUUGAUGGAGAAACUUUAUAAAGAGGGGCCAGCAGCCACCAUGUCAAUGGCCUAUGCCAAGCUCAUGCUGACCGUGAUGACCAAGUAUCAGGCUAAUAUCACUGAGAUCCAGAGACUGGGCCUGGCCGCAGCCAUCGAGUUCAACACCACAUUCCUGAGGAAGUCCCUGCAGGCUGCCCUGAGACAUCUGGCCCUCUGACCAUCCACCAAGGGACCACCCUCCUGGAGCUCCCUCACCAGCUUCCUAAAGGACACUUCGGCCCUGGGCACCUCAUCCUGACUCCUCAUGUGGGGUAAAGGUUGAGCUUGGCCUUCCUAGGGAUCACCUGCCUCUGGGCAGCAGGCUGCAGAGAGGUCAUCUGGGCCUCCCAGCCAGCAGGGAGGGUCCCAGUCUUCGGGGACUGGAUGAACUAUAUUACUAAGGGCUGCUGACUGUGAGCUCCCUCCUUGUCACUUCUCCCUCAGGCUGUGGGGACAGAAACUUUAAGGUAGGCCUCAGUAGGGUCCAACCAGACGCAGAGCGGACGAAUGAUACUCCAGGAGCUCUGGGGGACCUGUGUGCUCAGCACAAAUCUCUUAUUCUCAGGUGUAUGUUAACGAUCUUCUGUGUUCUUGUUUCUGACUUGAAUAAUAAUUUAUCAACAGUAUUUUAUUAAAAACAGGAGGCUCAAUUAUGUCUUAUUAGAAGCAGGACCUGCCUUCGUCUUAA
Vicugna pacos (alpaca) is the source of this 3201-nucleotide non-coding RNA. The record is from RefSeq and is a predicted model, not a curated record. Lineage: Eukaryota; Metazoa; Chordata; Mammalia; Artiodactyla; Camelidae.